GGCGGGCUGCGCGGUUCGGCAGGCGUAACUUUUCCUCGGGGCCUUAGUCAUUCCGAAGGGAGCUGUCCCUGACUUGGCCCGUGGGCCAGGAUAUACGGCGCCCACCUACAUCGUAGGUUCCCGGGAUCGACUUCGUCACCGGCCGAUGUGGCUCGCCA
This 158-nucleotide non-coding RNA is filed under the name Consotaella salsifontis. Its description in RNAcentral is "6S / SsrS RNA". It matches the Rfam family "6S / SsrS RNA". Rfam says of the family: E. coli 6S RNA was the first non coding RNA to be sequenced, but its function was unknown until recently. It consists of 184 nucleotides that fold into an extended hairpin structure with a large single-stranded internal bulge. The record is from RNAcentral. Lineage: Bacteria; Pseudomonadati; Pseudomonadota; Alphaproteobacteria; Hyphomicrobiales; Aurantimonadaceae.